GAGAAUUCAAGAUGAGAUUUGGGUGGGGACACAGUCAAACCAUAUCAAGUAGCCUUGUAAAAGCUGUCAGCUCAGCUAAUUGAACACUUUUGCCUGAUGAGAAAGAUGUGCUUUCAAUGAUACUAUUUAGGGCGACUACUGCAUAUUCUACCUUAUGGACUCUCUGUUCCACACAGGAGCUCCCAUCUGUAAAGAAGGUCCAGUCUGGAUUUUCUAGGGGAGUUUCCCUGAGAUCUCCCCUGGCUGCAUGGAUUUAUAUCACUACUUGCUCACGGUCAUGUUCAGGUUUUCCAGUUUCCUGUGGGAGGGAGGUGGCUGAAUUCAGGCAAGAUCAAGUCUUUAGUUGACCUGAACAUCCCUCUAGUAGUAGAGCCUGGUAUUUAAGGAGGUGACUGUUAGCCUAAGUCCCCCUUUAGUGAACAGCAAUCCUGUCACAUUAUGUGGGGUAUAAACAGUUAAGCUACUCCCUGGGGUUGAUUUGGUGGCUUUUGCCACCAGUAGGGCUACCGCUGCAACUGCCUGGAGGCAGGCUGUUCAUCCUUUAGCCACUAGGUUCAGCUUCUUACUUAAGUAACCCCCUGGCUAUUGAGCUGACCCUUGAGUCUGAGUUAAAACUCCCAGGGCCAUUCCCUUUCUUUCUGACACAUAAAGACUUAAUGCCUUUCCUAUCAGAAAGCUAAGUGCUGAUGACCAAGCAGGGCUUGUUAAAACGGGUUAAAGGCCCUUUUUGCCUCUGGUUCCCAAAUUAGGGAAUAAGUUUUGGCUGCCUGAGUUUCCUUUAUUAGUUGGUAUAAAGGAUGAGCCAUUUCCCCAUACUUAGGUAUCCACAACCUGCAAAAGCCUGUAAUGCCCCCAAAUCCUCUUAGUUGCCUGAGGGUUUUAGGGAGGGUGAAGGAGGAAAUGAGCUUGAUCCUUUCUUCUCCAAAUGCUUUGGUCCCUCCAGACAACACUAAACCCAGGUAUUUCACUGAGGGUUGGCAAAGCUGGGCCUUGGAUUUUGAAACUUUAUAUCCCCUAUUAGCUAAAAAAUUGAGAAGGGCUUCACUGCUCUCCUCACAAGCUUUCUCAGUUGGGGCACAGAGAAGAAUGUUGUCUACAUACUGUAGGAUUUUAACCCAAGAAUGAGAUAACUCAGAAAGGUCUUUAGACAGUGCUUGUCCAAACAACUGAGGACUGCCCCAAAACCCUUUUGGCAACGCUAUACAGGUUAACUGGACAGUCUGGCCAGAGGGAUCUUUGAAGGCAAGAAGAUACCGUGAGUCCAGGUGUAGUGGUAUGCAGAAAAAGGCAUCCUUUAGGUCUGGCACUGUGAACCAUUUAGGUUCUUCAGGCCUUUGGGUUAGCAAAGUAUAGGGAUUAGGAACUACUGGAUGAAUUGGGACUAUGGCCUCAUUAAUGAGGCAGAGGUCCUGAACUAGUCUCCCUUCCCCAUUGGGUUUUUGUACCCCUAAUAUUGGGGUGUUGCAGGGGCUGUUGCAGGGUUUGAGGAGGCCCUGCUUCUUCAGAUGAUUAACAAUGACCUCUAACCCUUUUCUAGCCUCUGGUGUUAGGGGAUAUUGUCUUUGCUUAGGAAAAGAAGUGGAUCUUUAAGAUGGAUCUGGACCUGUAGAGUGGUUAUAGCCUGGCCAAUUUUCCCCUGGCUUGCCCACACCUCUGGGCUAAUACUGGUUUCCACCAAGGGGAGACAAAUAGUGUGGGCCAGGGCCAUAAGGAUGCUGGCUCCCAUGCAAGCUAAAAUAUCUCUAUCUAAUAAGGGAGUGGGACUUUCGGGCAAGAUUAAAAAGACAUGUGUAAAUAGUAAGUUCCCCUAGGUACAAAUAAAGGGUUGAGAAAAAUAUUGGCUUAGAACCUUUCCUGUGAUGCCCUGUAUAGUUGUGCUAUGGGAAGAGGGGAGAUUUGGACUGGAGAGAACAGAUAGACUAACUCCAGUGUCCAGAAAAAGGUCCAUCUUCCUUCCUUCAGUUUCCAGAAUCACCCAGGGCUACUGGGCAGUAAUGGCAGUUUGGACCACUGGAGCUGGGGAAUUGAGCGCCGGGACCUAUCAGUCUUGCCUGACCGUUUGUGAGACCAGUCUGGACCUGGUGACCUAUGUCUCCAGAGGCAGUUUGACCUUCCCACCAUAGGCUGAACAGGGUCAAGCUGGCUUGAUCUUUCUGCCUGGGCAGUCCUUCUUAAAGUGUCCUGAUUUGACACACUGAUAGCAAUUAGUGGAUGCGCCUGGUGGAUCCUGGACUUUACAGGAUUGUAAAGUGGCCAUCAGAGACUCUGUCCUUCUCCUGUGCUUCCUAUCUUUUUUUCUGGGCCUCCUCCUGAUCCCUAUUGUAAAAGACCAAGAUGGCCACCCUCAGGAGGUUCUUCAGAGUACUAUCUGGUCCUGUAGCCUGUUUCUGUAAUUUUCUUCUAAUAUCAGGGGCUGCCUGAGCAAUAAACUUGUCCUUUAGGAUUAGCUGUUCUUCAACUGAGUCAGGAGACAGGGAAGUGUGUUUUAUUAAGGCCUCUCUCAGUCUUUCCUUAAAAGCUGAGGGAUUCUUAUCUGGUCUCUAAUCUAUCAUGGACAGCUUAGCAUAAUUAAGAGGUUUGGCCCUCAUUUUUUGAAGGUUCUCCAAUAUGCACAUUAAAAAGUGUUUCCUUUUCAGUUCAUUUGUGGGGGCACUACAUUCCCAGCUAGAGUUUUCAAGGAGUAUUGCCUCUCUCCUUAUUGGGAAUAGUUGUUCCAUAAUUUCCUCAUCUUCCUUAUCUCUUCUUUUCCUUUUUGGCCUGCUAUAAAAAACAUGUUAUUCAUCCCCAGUUUUUUCUGCUUCCUGCAGAGCUGCCUGCCUCUCAGCAGCUGUUGGGAUUUAGUUUAACAUAACAUCUCUCCAUGUGAAGUCAUAUGCUUGGUCUAGAUUUUGGAAAGCCUCUAUAUACCUGUCGGGGCUAUCAGAGAACCUACCCACGUCUACUUUUAUUUGUCUAAGGUCUUGCAAUGAGAAGGGAUCCUGUACCCCUAUGGUACCACAUCCACUGGGAAUUUCUUGCAGGAAUAAAAGUGAAGCUGAAGAAGUGGGGAGUUUUGGAAGUGGUGGAACUGAAGGAGCUAAUGGUGCAGUUGGAGGAGGGAGCCCCAGAUAAAUGAAACAAGAGAGGCUGAGACACUCAGUAGUUGUUUCAGAGAAUUUCCCAGGAAUUUGUUUUCUUAGCUUUGGGGAAUCAUUCCCCAUGUGUCUGCCUGAUAUGACUGUUAAAAUACCUGGGUCGAUUGUAUAUCACUUGCAGAAGUAUGAGUUGUCCUGCAGGGCAAAGAAAGCCUUACACAUGGGACCUCGGACCGUUUGCCCUCUCGUCUACAGACAGAAAAGGUCUAAUUGUUGGAUACUAUUAAAAUCCAGACUUCCCUCAGAAGGCCAGGUUUAUCCAUCCCCAAGCUGGUAAGAAGACCACAUUUUUGUGCAAAAGAAUGUGACCACUUUUUCUUCAGAGUCUUGGGGUCAAAGAAUUCCAGUGCUUCAGAAUGCACUCAAGAGAAGAGCAGGCUGAAGAUGUCUGUUACCCAUCUAGAAAGAAGGGGAGAGGAAGCAAAGGCAUUCCUUAGUCUUCUUCCUUUUGGAGUGACCCAGGUGGAGAGGAACACAGUGGGGACAUCCCUGCCAUUAUCCUCCUUCCCCUGUGCAAGCCUCCUUGUCUUAGCAUUUCCAUAAAGGGUGAAGACUGUGCUUACUGGGGCCCACUGUAUGUCCAUAUGUCGCAUAGGAGGGCCCCUUUAUGUGUUAGAGCUUGCUUUCCUUAUCUAUGUUUGCAGUAUGAUCUCUCAGGCUGCACUUUGCUGAAAGAGAAAUGACCUCUUGAGCUGCUUUUUGUUGGAAGGGAAUUCUACUGAGGACCCUUGCCCUAACUAUCUGCCUAGUUGAUUUCUCUCUCUCUCUCCUCUCACAAUAUUAUUUAUAAAUAUUUAUGCAAAAAUAUUAAAUAAAAAAUUAUCAAAAGGAACCUAACACCAAGUUCACCAAGUUAAGAAAAUAAUACAUCAUGACAAAGUGGAAUUUAUUUUAGGAAUAACUAACAAGGUUGGUUCAAUGCUAGGCCAGGUUGGUUCAAUAUUAGGAAACAUUGAACAUAUACCAAAUUAAUAGUUAUAAGUGGAAAAUUAAUGUUCUCCAUGGAUGCUGAAAAAUGUAUUUGACAAGAUUUCCACUAAAAAUCUGCAAGGAAAUAGGAAUUAACUAAUAAUUUCAUUAAUGGAGAAACACUAGUGGUAUUUUCACUACAGUCAAGAUCAAGGCAAGAAGGACCACUACCUCUACUACUAUUUAAUAUCUUACUGAGUGUAUUAGCCAACACAAUUAGAAAAGAGAAAUGAAUCAGAGGCAAAAUAAUGAGAAAAAAGGAAGUAAAACUCUAUAUUUGGAAAAUAUGCUAAUAUACCUAGAAGCCUUUGGAAUUUCCUCA
Long non-coding RNA from Sapajus apella (tufted capuchin), 4425 nucleotides. RefSeq lists it as uncharacterized. The transcript has 2 exons. Lineage: Eukaryota; Metazoa; Chordata; Mammalia; Primates; Cebidae. The record is from RefSeq and is a predicted model, not a curated record.